This is a non-coding RNA of Acanthosepion pharaonis, 98 nucleotides long. The record is from the annotation of a GenBank genome assembly. Lineage: Eukaryota; Metazoa; Mollusca; Cephalopoda; Sepiida; Sepiidae.
GUUGAAAUACCAGUUCUCACGUGGUCACCGAAGUUAAGCAACAUCGAGCCUAGUCAGUAAUUAAAUGAGUGACUGCUUGUGAACACCAGGUGCUGCAG